Molecule: ribosomal RNA, 468 nt
Filed under: uncultured bacterium
Lineage: Bacteria
Description: partial 16S ribosomal RNA
Rfam family: Bacterial small subunit ribosomal RNA
Source: RNAcentral
GACGAACGCUGGCGGCGUGCUUAACACAUGCAAGUCGAACGGAAAGGCCCUGCUUUUGUGGGGUGCUCGAGUGGCGAACGGGUGAGUAACACGUGAGUAACCUGCCCUUGACUUUGGGAUAACUUCAGGAAACUGGGGCUAAUACCGGAUAGGAGCUCCUGCUGCAUGGUGGGGGUUGGAAAGUUUCGGCGGUUGGGGAUGGACUCGCGGCUUAUCAGCUUGUUGGUGGGGUAGUGGCUUACCAAGGCUUUGACGGGUAGCCGGCCUGAGAGGGUGACCGGCCACAUUGGGACUGAGAUACGGCCCAGACUCCUACGGGAGGCAGCAGUGGGGAAUAUUGCACAAUGGGCGGAAGCCUGAUGCAGCAACGCCGCGUGCGGGAAGACGGCCUUCGGGUUGUAAACCGCUUUCGCCUGUGACGAAGCGUGAGUGACGGUAAUGGGUAAAGAAGCACCGGCUAACUACGUG